AACGCACGAGACCUGCGGACCUGCGGAAGGAUCAUCAAAAAAAAAAGAGAAGAGGGUGAAAGUUUCUUCAUCCUCUCUUUUUUAUUAAUUUUUUCUUUCUUUCCCCCUUUUUCUAUGCUACUCCUAGGAGUUGUAAUUAGAGAAAAAGAGGGUAAAGAAAAGAAACUUGUCGACUUGUUGUCCCCUUUUUUAGAAGAGUUUCUUUUAAAAAAUGGGGUAGACCCUUUUCCCUCUCCAACA
RNAcentral lists this unclassified non-coding RNA (240 nucleotides) under soil metagenome. RNAcentral's name for it is "partial contains 5.8S ribosomal RNA, internal transcribed spacer 2, and large subunit ribosomal RNA". The record is from RNAcentral.